UGCCUCCAUCAGGAACUGCAAUUAUGCACACAUUCAGCCACCUAAAGUUGUCCCACAGCUCAGAUGCAAUAUUCUUUUUUUUAAAUUCUUUUCUCUUUGUGUGUUCCAUUUUGGGUAUUCUCUAUUGCUAUGGCUUCAAGUUCACUAAUCUUUUCUUCUGUGUUUUCUAAUCAGGUAUUAAUAUCAUUCAGGUAUUAAUAUCAUCUUGGAUUCUGUUUUCAUCUGAUAUGGAGAAGCAUUGGAUCUGAGUGGGACACAUCCUCUCUAAUGCACCCUGCCUUUUCCGCUGCUCCAAAUUUCACACAAGCGUCAGAAAAAUUCAAGACAAUCUAGAAAAUCUAAGUACAAAUACAAAAAGGAAAGUGUUUUCUUUCAAAGCUGUGAAUUAUAUAAAGUGAGUAAGCUCAAUAAACAUUUGCAGAAGUGGGAACAUGUGUUAGUUCAUUCUUGCAUUGCUAUAAAUUUCUUUUAGUUCAUGGGUUCUGCAGUCUGUACAAGAAGCAUGAUGUCAGUAUCUGCUUCUGGGGAGGCCUCAGGAAGCUUACAAUCAUAGUGGAAGGUAAAGGGGGAACAGAUGGUGUCACAUGGCAAGAGUAGGAGCAAGAGAGGGAGGAGGAGGAUCCAGGCUCCUUUUAUUUAUUUAUUGUAUAC
RNAcentral lists this long non-coding RNA (651 nucleotides) under Homo sapiens (human). RNAcentral describes it as "non-protein coding lnc-CPQ-3:1". Lineage: Eukaryota; Metazoa; Chordata; Mammalia; Primates; Hominidae. The record is from RNAcentral.